This 486-nucleotide ribosomal RNA is filed under the name bacterium 02-L049641-122-013-B01. Its description in RNAcentral is "bacterial SSU rRNA". It matches the Rfam family "Bacterial small subunit ribosomal RNA", at positions 74 to 544 of the family's 1533-position model. The record is from RNAcentral.
GGGAGCUUGCUCCCUGAUGUUAGCGGCGGACGGGUGAGUAACACGUGGGUAACCUGCCUGUAAGACUGGGAUAACUCCGGGAAACCGGGGCUAAUACCGGAUACUUGUUUGAACCGCAUGGUUCAAACAUAAAAGGUGGCUUCGGCUACCACUUACAGAUGGACCCGCGGCGCAUUAGCUAGUUGGUGAGGUAAUGGCUCACCAAGGCAACGAUGCGUAGCCGACCUGACAGGGUGAUCGGCCACACUGGGACUGAGACACGGCCCAGACUCCUACGGGAGGCAGCAGUAGGGAAUCUUCCGCAAUGGACGAAAGUCUGACGGAGCAACGCCGCGUGAGUGAUGAAGGUUUUCGGAUCGUAUAGCUCUGUUGUUACGGAAGAGCAAGUGCCGUUCAAAUAUGGCGGCACCUUGACGGUACCUAACCAGAAAGCCACGGCUAACUACGUGCCAGCAGCCGCGGUAAUACGUAUGUGGCAAGCGUUGU